GGAGCCAGGGCCACAGCAGCUUCUGAGUGUCUGAUCCUGGAGCACAGUGAACUAACUCCCUAAAUGGCCCUUCUGGAGUUGGCAGGUAGCGGGGGCUCUCUUCUCAAAUAAAAGUAAUAAGUCUACUAUGGUAAUGUUAAUAGGUCUGGACACAGCUAGAGGCUGCUGUUCUCCCCAGCAAGGUGACAAUGUGUGGAUUAGAUCUGUGACUCAUAGCCAGUCUCUGACCUCAUCCUGGACAGACACGGAGGUAGCCACGGCAGCACAUCCACAGACCUCCCAGAAGAGGACUGCCAUUGCUUCAGAGAGUGAUGAGGAGGAUGAGAUAAGUGUAUUUGAAGUGAGGUGGUUAAUUUCAGUGGAAUU
Molecule: long non-coding RNA, 366 nt
Organism: Chinchilla lanigera (long-tailed chinchilla)
Lineage: Eukaryota; Metazoa; Chordata; Mammalia; Rodentia; Chinchillidae
Exons: 3
Source: RefSeq, a predicted model, not a curated record